This is a long non-coding RNA of Hordeum vulgare subsp. vulgare (domesticated barley), 2254 nucleotides long. RefSeq lists it as uncharacterized. Lineage: Eukaryota; Viridiplantae; Streptophyta; Magnoliopsida; Poales; Poaceae. The record is from RefSeq and is a predicted model, not a curated record. The transcript is spliced from 8 exons.
GCGCCCCACCAACGCCAGGCCUCCUCUCUCGCCUCGCCACCAUCGCCCCUGCCACCGGCCGCGCCCCACCAACGCCAGGCCUCCUCUCUCGCCUCGCCACCAUCGCCCCUGCCACCGGCCGCGCCCCACCAACGCCAGGCCUCCUCUCUCGCCUCGACACCGUCCUGGAGUGGAUGCCCCGCCACACGUUGCGCCCCACGAUCAGCAACCCAGUGGCAUCACGGCUCGAGGUCCUCCUCCACCUCAUUCCCCAUCCCCUAAAUUGGAUCCAUGCAUGUGCUUGCUGGUGAUUCCACAUAGUCUCCCACGGAAUCGACCAUCGGGAGGGACAGAUUUUGCCGUCUCGUCCCGGGCGUUGGUUAGGGCAUGAGUUCGGGCGCGGUUCCUUUAGUUCCCCUGCAGGAGGAGGCAGGCCAGCAGCAAGGUGUGAGAUAUGUGGGAGUGCAGAGAAGAAACUGUAUGUGUUCACCUGCAUCCAGUGCAAUGGCUGUCAACAUCGAGCCAACAUGAUGAUAUUGAGGGGAAGUUUUUUUAGGAAAGGGCCGCCCUUGAAGCCAAGUACCAGAAGCUGUAUGAACCAUUGUACGCUAAGAGGUACAACAUUGUAAAUGGAGUUGUGGAGGUUGAUGGUGUUGCUCAAGAACCUACCAGUGAAAAUGCUGCAGAGGGGGAGAUUCAGAUGCUAAAGGAAUCCCAGAUUUCUGGCUCACUGCUUUGAAAACAAAUGAAGUGCUGACUGAGGAGGUGUAUUCACCUCAUCACACCAUCAGUUCUGAUCAAGGAUCUGGAUGUGGUGCAAGCUACAAACACCGCCCCGAAGGAGGCAUCGGGAUUGUUAUUGACUGGGAGGAGCAGGAGGCAGCCGGAGAGGCAGUAAGCACCUUGACAAUGACAGCCAUGACCCGGCUUAUUUGGUUAUCCUUCAUAUGUCACCUAGGAACAUGAACCUUAUGAUGACCGAUAGUUGGAUGUAUGUGAGAGGAUGAACAUUCAGACAUCCUUGAUGACUGGGAUUCUAGGAAGACGAUCACAUACUCGACCAGCCCACCCGUCACCGCGAGACAAGUUAAAAGUGAAGCAACUACAGGUUUGCAUCGAAUGUUUUUACUAUUGGUUUCUUCAAGGGUAGAAACUUAUACCCAACAUAUGUCAUUUUUAGGUUAAUUGGCUAGCCCCUCUUUUUAUAAUGGUCCAAUCAAUUUAGAGAAAGGGGAAAAGAAAAUGUAUGACACAAGGAUCCUAAGGCCUAAACAUUUGAAUUCCUGGUCCUAUUUAUGAUCCUACAAGCGCUAUCUCUAUGAGCUGAACAAUUAUAGCAGAGGACACAAUCAAAUUCAGAGGUUAGAGCCUGAUGAGCAAUGUUAUGAGAGCUUGUUUUUGAUCUGCCUAUUUUCCGCGAAAUUGGGACGUGAUGGAUGGUCCUUGUGAGGUUCUCCAAGAAUUUGAUUCCUCAUUUUUCCUGUUCUGGUAGUAUGAUGGAUUUUGAUUAGUUAAGAACCUGCAGUUUCUUUGGUAAGUUGGGAUUAAGAGUUCCUGAUAGGAAUAGGAUCCCUACCAGCGCGAGGUCUUAGGUUAUAUGGGUGGAAGAGAGGUUGGCGGGGCGUGGCACGCGGCCGGCGGCGGGACACAGUGAUCGCGUGCGCGCAAGAGAGAGAGAGAGAGAGAAUCGAGACGGCUAGGGUUAGGGUGCCGGCUCCUGUGGGAGCCGAGAACAUAUGAUUGCUUCUGCUUAACCAAAACGGAGUCCUUACAUGACUAUAUAUAAUCUCCCUAGCCUAACAAAUACGAUAAACUAGGCUAAGCCCCUAAUAACAAUAAGAUAAGUUGGGCCAGGCCUUUAAGUGGUUGCGCCCUUGGGCCCCCUCUGGUUAUAAUGAAUACCGGUCAUAACAGUUUCAUAUAUAUUUCUGCUCUGGUAGUACGAUGGCAUUUUUUUUUGCACUGUCUGAUUUAUUCACUAUGUUAUUACUUAGACCAGGCUUCUACCUUACUUGAGUUAGUAUUUUCUUGUGUAUUCCAAUAGCUACUAUUAAUUAUAUUUAUUUUUCCUUCAACGGGAUCAACAAAUUGUUAAGCGCACAUGCUACAACCAUCAAUUUCUGUGAUAUUAACCAUCUAACUCUGCAAUGUUCACACACUGAUUUCCGUCAUCUAUACGAUGAUGUUUCCAUUACAGUUGUUUGUUUCUCCAAUGACUAUGUAUACUCUUACGCACGAUAAAAAAUAUAUUCAGGCUAUGCCAGUGCAUCCAAAA